UACGGAGGGUGCAAACGUUGCUCGGAAUUAUUGGGCGUAAAGCGCGCGUAGGCGGCUUGAUAAGUUGGAUGUGAAAGCCCUGGGCUCAACCCGGGAAGUGCAUCCAAAACUAUCUCGCUUGAAUCUCGGAGGGGGACAGGGAAUUCUCGGUGUAGAGGUGAAAUUCGUAGAUAUCGGGAGGAACACCAGUGGCGAAGGCG
RNAcentral lists this ribosomal RNA (200 nucleotides) under uncultured bacterium. Its description in RNAcentral is "partial 16S ribosomal RNA". It matches the Rfam family "Bacterial small subunit ribosomal RNA", at positions 524 to 723 of the family's 1533-position model. The record is from RNAcentral.